RNAcentral lists this ribosomal RNA (254 nucleotides) under uncultured bacterium. Its description in RNAcentral is "partial 16S ribosomal RNA". It matches the Rfam family "Bacterial small subunit ribosomal RNA", at positions 524 to 776 of the family's 1533-position model. The record is from RNAcentral.
UACGUAGGGGCCUAGCGUUGUCCGGAAUUAUUGGGCGUAAAGAGCUCGUAGGCGGUUCGGCAAGUCGGAUGUGAAAUCUCCACGCUCAACGUGGAGGGGCCAUUCGAAACUGCCGUGACUCGAGUCCGGUAGGGGAGUGUGGAAUUCCCGGUGUAGCGGUGAAAUGCGUAGAUAUCAGGAGGAACACCGGUGGCGAAGGCGGGUCUCUGGGCCGAUACUGACGCUGAGGAGCGAAAGCGUGGGGAGCGAACAGG